AUUGAACGCUGGCGGCAUGCCUUACACAUGCAAGUCGAACGGCAGCGGGCCUUCGGGUGCCGGCGAGUGGCGAACGGGUGAGUAAUGCAUCGGAACGUGCCAUUGAGUGGGGGGAUAACGUAGCGAAAGUUACGCUAAUACCGCAUAUUCUGUGAGCAGGAAGGCAGGGGACCGCAAGGCCUUGCGCUCUUUGAGCGGCCGAUGUCAGAUUAGCUAGUUGGUGAGGUAAAGGCUUACCAAGGCGACGAUCUGUAGCGGGUCUGAGAGGAUGAUCCGCCACACUGGAACUGAGACACGGUCCAGACUCCUACGGGAGGCAGCAGUGGGGAAUUUUGGACAAUGGGCGCAAGCCUGAUCCAGCCAUGCCGCGUGAGUGAAGAA
Molecule: ribosomal RNA, 381 nt
Filed under: uncultured bacterium
Lineage: Bacteria
Description: bacterial SSU rRNA
Rfam family: Bacterial small subunit ribosomal RNA
Source: RNAcentral